CUCCGUAGGUGAACCUGCGGAGGGAUCAUUACACAAAUAUGAAGGCGGGCUGGAACCUCUCGGGGUUACAGCCUUGCUGAAUUAUUCACCCUUGUCUUUUGCGUACUUCUUGUUUCCUUGGUGGGUUCGCCCACCACUAGGACAAACAUAAACCUUUUGUAAUUGCAAUCAGCGUCAGUAACAAAUUAAUAAUUACAACUUUCAACAACGGAUCCCUUGGUUCUGGCAUCGAUGAAGAACGCAGCGAAAUGCGAUAAGUAGUGUGAAUUGCAGAAUUCAGUGAAUCAUCGAAUCUUUGAACGCACAUUGCGCCCUUUGGUAUUCCAAAGGGCAUGCCUGUUCGAGCGUCAUUUGUACCCUCAAGCUUUGCUUGGUGUUGGGCGUCUUGUCUCUAGCUUUGCUGGAGACUCGCCUUAAAGUAAUUGGCAGCCGGCCUACUGGUUUCGGAGCGCAGCACAAGUCGCACUCUCUAUCAGCAAAGGUCUAGCAUCCACUAAGCCUUUUUUUCAACUUUUGACCUCGGAUCAGGUAGGGAUACCCGCUGAACUUAAGCAUAUC
This 558-nucleotide ribosomal RNA is filed under the name uncultured fungus. Its description in RNAcentral is "eukaryotic LSU rRNA". The stretch from base 197 to 350 matches the Rfam family "5.8S ribosomal RNA". Lineage: Eukaryota; Fungi. The record is from RNAcentral.